GCAUGUCAACUGAGUAUCUAAUAUCAUCAAAGGUGAUAGAAAGUGGUUGGAAUGGAAGAACCAUUCCUUUUUUGUUGUUACGUCUAGCCUCAGCAAUGGCUUCUGCCCUCACAGAUGAGGAUGUGGAUGAGAUGCUUCUCCCAAUUUCGUCUCUCCUCUCUGCAUGUUAAGUUUAAAAUUAGUGAGCCAUGUAAAACAUGUGGUUAAAUGACAAGAACAAAGGCACACAUGCACCAUGAAUGAGUUUCAUCACCUGUGGAUGCAGUUUGGUCAAUCGAGCCUCGUCUAUGGGAUGAUAACUCGAUCUUCCCUCCAGUUUUGGAAUUCUCAGACUCUUCUGUUAUAACAGCUUGAGGCUUCUCAAAUGCUGCACAAUUUGCACAAAUCUUAGUACACUAAUCUCCAAUAUUUUAGGAUUUUCAACACAGAGAAUGUAAGGAUACCCACCAUUUAGGUAAGUGAGAGCCACAGUGUAACAGAAGUUGAAGACUAAAAUGAAUCCAAGCAGUGCCCCAGCUCCUAUCCAGUACCAGUAUGCCUCUGUGAAGAACCCGCGAGACUUCAAUACUGCUACUCCAAGGGAUUCUGUUGAAUCGGUUGAAGAAUUCUGAAAAAUGGAAAUACAUUCAAUCAUCAGUUACUGACACAAAUAAACACAAAUAUUCACAUGAAACAUUCAUAAACUUACUUUGCUCCAACUCUUCCCAAGGAAUUCAUUUACCACUAUUGCGUUCUGUGCAUACAUCAGAGGGGAAGACCAGUAACCCCAAAUCCACCAUUUCUUGACAUUUUCUACAGCAAUGACCAAAUACAAGAAGGAAACAAAAAUUCAUUAUUAGGGUUUAUGAACAAGAAGGUCCUAGUUUCCUAAAAAAAAUCUUUCCUCCUUAUACCUCGUGACAGGACAAAACCACCCAAUGCAAAGAGCAAAAGUAAUGAAAAUGACCCAAAUGUGUUUGCAACAAUCAUGUUUCUACCAGCUGCUGCAAUAAAUCGAAACAAUGCAGAUGCCAUCUGAUUAACAAGCACGAGGAGAAGAUAUUGUUUAAACAACCUGCAAUAAGAAGAUUUGUUUAUUAGCAUUGAUCAUUUUGGAACAAAGAAAACAUUUGAAACAAAUCUGGACAUGUUUCUUUUACCUUCCCACAUUUGGAUCAAAUCCAAUGACAUAAUAAGACAUGAACACCCAAACAGCAACUUCAACAAAUGUGAUGGGGAUCUUGAGGAUCCAUGAGGGGAGUGCAUACGCCCAUGCAGGGUAGAAUAGUAGGCCUCUUUGCUUGUAAAAGACAGGAAGUUUUGCAAUGGUCAUGGCAAGUUCUGACAUUCCAUUAAACAUGAUCAUGACAACAGUGAAGAACAAAGCACCCGUGUAAAUGCUUCCAUCAUCUGUUGAAUUUUUGUGCAUCUCAGUUCUUAGGAAGAUUGUCAUGGAAAUUGCUGCCAUUAUUAUGAGCUAAAAGAAGAAACAAAAAUAAUAAAUUACGAUCAAAUGUACAAAAUUGAAAGCCAUUGUUAUAAGUAACAACAAUAAUAAUACUCACUUGGGUGAGCUUGAAAAUAUAGACAAAUGAAUUCCUCUUCAUCAGCAAGUACUCUCUUGAGAUGCAAGCAUCCAACAGUUCCUUCUUUCUAACACCAUAUUUUUCAGUUUUCAAAGCAGCUGGGUGGCUUUUGGUCUUGUCGAAUGGAGUUGCAAGCUCAUGUCCUAGUUUCCGUCCAAUGUGAAAUGACUGGAAUGCCUCGGCAAAUUCCUUGACUGUGACAAAACUGUAAGGCUCAUCUUUACGUGCCCAAUACUGCUGCUGAUCUUUCCUAGAUGUUACCUGUAAUGAAUUUUAAAAUUCAUGUUCUAGCUUGAUUUUUUCUAAAGAAGGAAAAAAAAAUUGAGAAGAUGCCUAAAGGUACAAAACUAUUAGCACUCACUUCUUGUAGGAAGUCUGCCACACCCUUCCUUUCAGGACAUCUGAAGCCCAUGGAUUCAAAAAAGUCAAGAACGUCUUCACGAGGACCCUGAUAAACAAUCUGGCUAUCAGAGAGGAGAAUGAUGUCAUCAAAAAGAUCGUAAGUCUCAGGUGCUGGCUGGAGGAGAGAGAUGAGAGCAGUCCCAUUGAGAAUGUGGAUGGUUUGCCUGAGAGAAUUCACGAUUUGAUAAGUUGUCGAGCUAUCCAACCCAGUAGAGAUCUCAUCCAUGAACAGUGCCUUCGAUGGUCCAACCAGCAUCUCCCCUGUCAUUCAUAUAUUUCACAGUUGAAUUAACUUAAAUUAAUGAACGAAAAAAUCUAAUUUAUUUUAUUUGGUUGGAAACCAAAUUAUCCUACCAGUUGUGACACGCUUCCGUUGUCCUCCAGAGAUACCCCUUAUCAUUUGAUCUCCUACCAAGGUGUCUGCACAGACUUCUAGUCCCAGAAUCUGUAAAUUUAAGUGUAAAUGAAAAUAAACAAAUUAUGACUUAGAAUUGGGUUUUCUCAGAAAUCUGCAUUCCAUCAUUGAAAGUUCUAUGGUUAUGAUACCUUCAGUGUAUAGUCAGUGAUUACAUUCUCCUUCUGGCCUUCCGUUGCCACUGCCUGAAAUAUUAAAAACCAAUAAUGUAAAUCUCACUCACCAUCAAACCAAUAAGUACCUUAAGAAAUUCCAAGGAUAAGAGAUUUUGCUCUGCAGAACUGGUUAAAAUUUCACUCAAAGUAGCUUCUGUCUCACCUUCAUGAAGACAUCGAUAUCAGGAUCAGGCUUAAUAUUUGCUGCCUUCUCUCUUCUUGAGAGCUCUGCUAACAUGUCUGCGAAUAGCCAAAUAAAAGUCAACCUCCUGGCUUAUGCAAAUUUCAUAUAACUAAAUUCACAAGCUUCAAAAACAAAGAAAAUAAAAGUAAAAGGCAAUGAAUGGUUUAGACCAACCAUAUCGAUCUCCAACACCCUGGCAUCUUGCAGAGAAGGCCAAGGUUUCCCGUACAGUCAUUUCUCCUAUAUGGGUAUCAUGUUGGCUGAUGUAGGUUGCAGUUCUCUGGGGUACAAAUUCAUUCAUGCCAUGACCAUUGUAUGUCACCUUUCCCGUAACCUAAAAGCAGGAAUUUCAGUUUCCAAAUUGGAUAUGAGAUUAAACAGCUAAAAAUUGAAUAUUCAUUAAAGAACAAAAGCAAUAAUUUUUUUUUCAUUCAACCUUUAGACUGGAAUCAAGCUUUCCGGACAAAGCCAAUAAGAGAGUGGUCUUUCCAGAACUUGGAGGACCCAAAAGCAAUGUCAUUCUGCAGAAAAAAAAUAUGCACAAAAGAUUGAGUAUGGAUCUUCAGGAUAUUCUAAAUUGGAGAAAGUAAAAAAAUCCAUUUGAUAGAUAUAUAUAUAUAUAUAUAUAUAUAUAUAUAUAUCUCAAUUAAUUUUUUUACAGAAAAAAAAAGAAAAAAAAUCAUAUUCUCACCUUCGAGGUUUGAUGAUUCCACUAACAUCGUGAAGAAUAGUGAGUUUCUUCUUUCUACUCGGAAGAAUCCGAAGAGUGUUCAAGAUAUCCUUUAAAACAGAAAGAAAAAUUAUAAUCUAAAAACAAACUUUCCCAAGAGAGUAUUUAUUGCUUAGCUAGUGAUCUGUAUUUGCAUUUUAGUUACCUCAAUUUGAUUAAAAGCAGAAUAAAUGAAUGAAGGCAAAGCUCUGCUUCCUACAUGAGCUUCUGCAUCAAUGGUAAGAUGCUCAAAUCUAACUUCAAUUUCGGGAAGAUCAAUCCCAACUCUGAAAAAUGAAAUAGACAUGCAAACCCAUUACUAAAAAGUCAAAGGAAGAUGUUUGGUUGUGAAGAAAAUGCAGGACUAUCAGUCACAUUUAAGGUGGAUUCUUUCUUUUCCACUGUUUUCAAUGUUAAAAAAGAAAAAGAAAAACGGCAAGAAAGGCAAGAGAAGAGGAGAAAUCGCACCUAUCUAUGCGAUUCCUGAGCUUCAACAAGAACUUCUCAUUGUCCUCUUCGGCAAUUUUCACCAACCGCUCCACUAAAUUCUUCUUUUCCUGAAACCCAAGGUUGUGUAUAUCAACUUCACUGGCCUCACCCGCCGAACCCAUCAGCAAGCCUUUCCUCAUCCGAUUGUAGGUGGGAAGUUUCUCGAGGGCGGCCCAUUUCAAAGCUUCCUCAUCAUCUUCAUCCCUCGAAGAACGGGAGAAAACCUCCUCACCAGAGUUCCUCCAUAUGGAAGAACUGUCCUUCCUUAAACUACCACCGGCUCUAUAAAUUUCACCUGUUGCCAUUGCAACACGAAACGAGGAACCCUCCUGCAAAACCCACCAAAACCCAGAAACCUUUCCUACAAAUUAGGGAGAACAAACCCAAAUUUUGAACUCUAGAGCUGAAAAGCUCAAAAUAAGAGAUGGUUCCCCUCCCGCUUUUCCCUGUGCAUGCAAUUGAUUCCGUCUCUUUGUAUUGCUAAAACUUUGUUGUAUGUUGGAAAAACACGAAGAAUGGAAGGUUUAUAUACUGAUUGGAAGAACAGAAAAAUGAGGCCACCCAUAAUUUUCAAGACUACUAAACGUCUUCGUAAUCGCAAUCGUAACUGCUGUUGUAUGCAAAUGCCACGAUGUUUGACCCUUCAAAGUCUUAUUUCACAAUUCGUAAUUUUCAGAUUUCCAGUACCUUGUUUGUCAAGGAACUCAAUAAUCAUUAAAUGUUUCCCAACUGCCAAACCAACUAACUUUCCCGCCCGCCGAAAUUGCACUGUGAAAGAUUUAUAGCAUUUUAUUUAUACUCUAGUUUAAUGACAUGAGACUUUCGGUUUGGAUUGCCUAUAUUAUUUUUAGUAAUUUACCUUAUAUCUUUAAAAUUAUUUCAAAAAAAAAACCCAUAAUAUUAAUUAUUAUAUAAGUUGGAUUUAUUAAAUAUUAAAUAACAUAUAAAUUAAUAUUAAUCAUAAAUUCCCAUAAUAUUAAUAAUUACAAAAGAGUACAUUUAUCAAAAAUUAAAUAAUAUAUAAAUUAAUAUAAUUGUAUAAUCAAUUCUAAAUUACACAUUAUUUAAUUAAAUCUAAAAAUAUUUUUAAAAUAUCAAAAUCAAGCCCUAAAUAACUCACCACUUUUUAAAAAAUAUUUAAUAAAAUAUCAAUUAUUUAUCUUCUUAUUAUUUUUUUAUGAUAUAUAGUAGAAUUUAAAGUGAAAUUUUAAAUUAACACACCAAAAAUUGUUUUAGAAGGAAAAAAAAUAUUUUUUUCUGAUAAUAUUUUUUAAAAUAUAUAUAUUUUUAGUCUAAAAUAUUUUUAAAGAAAAAAUCAACCUUUUGAUCAAAUUUUAAAAUAUUAUUAAAAAAUAAAAAUUAUUUAUAAUAUUAAAAAAAUUCAAAAAAAAUAUUUUAAUAAAAACAUUUUAAGUAGAAAUACUAUUUCGUAAGAUACAAGAUAAGAAUCGCACAUAAAAGCAUUAUAAAUUAUUAGAAUCGCAUCGCAUAAAUCAUACUAAAUCUAACAACUAACCAAACUCAUCCUCUCUAAAUUUCAAUUUGGUCUCUUCUCAAUUUAUUUUUGGAUUGCUUUUCAUCUAGAAAUAGCAACCACAUAAAGCAUAGGCCAAAUACUCUAAAAAUAGGUAGAUUUCUCAUUUCUCACAUGUAGCAUCUAGAAAAAAAAACCGGUAGGGUUGGCAGAAAUAUAGGAACCACAUAAAGCAUAGGACAGAUGUUAUAAAGAUAGGCAGAUUUCUCACAUGUUAGCAUCUAGAAAAAAAAACGGGUAUGGGCUGGCAGAAAUAUAGGAAGGUGGUGGUGUGUAACCAAGACUUUCAUUAUCCAAAUUCACAUUCUUAUGGGAAAAACGUGAUUGACUUCGACACUUGAAAAAAAAAAAACAAUGGAAAGAAAAAGGGAAAUCAUCUACCCAAAUACUUGAAUGAUGAAAUCAAAUCUUUGAUCAUAUCUGCUAGUUUGGAAAGUUCAGUUUGACAACUACAUUGAAGAAGAAAAAAAAAAUUAAAACAUUACAGGUUGUUUGUGAUUUAAAAAUAAUUUUUAAUUUUUUAAGAUUUUUAAUAUUAUUUUUGUCAUUAUUUUUCGAAAAUAAUAAUAAUUUUUAAAAAAUAAGAGUUAUUUUUAUCGAUUUUUAAAAAUAAAAAAAAAAUAUAGAUCUGUUUGAUCAUAUUUUCUUAAACUUAUUUUUAAAUUGAUUAAAAUAAAAAAAUAAAAAAAAUAUUAAAAAUACAUAUAAAAAUGGUUUAUUAAUUUAAAAUAUUUUUUAUUUUUUAUCUUCUAUUUUUUCUCAUUAUUUCAUUUUCAUUUUCCACUUCAAAAUUUUCAAUAUUCAACUAUUGAAUUCCGUACACUUUUUUUUUUAAUGAAAAAGAUGAGUUUUGACUUUUGACACUUUUUCAAAAAAGAUGCGUUUUGAUCCCUUCCCUAUAAUAAUAAAAAAAGAAAUAGUAAAUUUAUUGACGUCACUCCAUGCAUCAUCUUCCUUAAAAGUACAAAUCGUCCUCCUCUUCUUCUCUUACUAUGUUUUUUUUUUGUUUUCAAUUUAUUUAAAGAAAAAAAAAAAUCUUUGGUGUCCGGUGGAAUCAAUCGAAUGAACGAGUGGCUUCUAUUAUUACAAAUUUGAAAAUUUGGCUUAUUUUAUUUUUAAAUAUAGAAAAAAGGCUACAUGAUAACUCCAUAAUAUAUGGAACAUGCAUAUGCCACCCUUUUUGACCCUUCAAAUUCUUAUGUUCUCCGUUCAUAAUUUUCACGUGUGUUCAAGGAAGUAGGCAAGCCUACGUUAAACAAUAAAAAAGAUGUUUUAAAUUUUACCAAAAAAAAAAAAAGUCAAAGGAUUUUUUCAAAAGAAUCUUAAGAAGUAAUUGGACAUCUCAAUAAGAAAUUUUUAAAACUAUAAAUGUAAAAUAUUUUGUUGGCAUUUUAUUUAUAAUUUAAUAAACGUUUUCAAACUUUGGGUUUUUGGAUUACAUGUUUGGAUUAGUAAUUGAAAUGUUGGGAAAUAUCAACGAGGUUCGCCAUGAAUAUGGGAUCAAAAGUCAAUAAACGAUGUUUCAUUAGUUAAGGUUGCUGGCUCUCUUGGUCAAACUCCCUAAAAAAAGUUUAAGUUCCAAAAGGUUUGGGUUGAAGCUUGGCUACCACUAGGGUGAAUUCAAUUAAUAUAUGUGCACAAGUAUAUAUUAAAAUCCAUUAUUAAAAAAAUAUUUUAAUAAAUAAAUUAAUUCUACUUAUUUUAUUUAAUUGAUUACUAAAAUAUAAAAACCAUCAUUAUAAUUUUUUAACAAGACUUUUUUUUAUAUCAUUUAUGUGAUAAUUAAAUAUUAAAAAUAUAAAUAGGAUAAAAAAAUGCAUAUAAUUUUGAAUGUUUUUAUUUUAAAAUAUUGAAAAUAUAAAUUUAUUUGAAAAUUGUUAAAAUAUAAUAAUAAUAAUAAUAAUAAUAAUGAAGUUCUAAUAUUUUAUAAAUUAAAAUUAAUUUAAUAAGAUAAAUUAUUAAUAUAAUUUUAAUUAUUUAAAUAAAUCAAUGUCAAUAGCAAAAAGUUGUCACCAUAAGUAAUAAAAUUUUAAAAAUUAAAACUCAAAUAAAAUAUUUUAUAUAAGUCUUAAAAUGUAGUUAAUUUUUUUUAUUUGAAAUGUAAUAAAAUUUUUAAUUUUUAAAAUAAAUGAAUAUAAAUAUAUUAAAGGAAUUUGAGAUCAUUUUUUCUAUAAAAAAAUUUGAUAAAUAUUGUCCUUGACCAUACCUAUGUUAGUUACACCUACAAAAUAACUUUAACAUAUGUUUUUUUACUUAUUUUAUCAUUUAAAACUUUUUUAAAUAUUUUCAUGAAUUUUGAACAAUUUUCGUCUUAUCGAUAUUUCUGAUAUAUCCAUAAAAUUCAAAUACUGAUAUAUUCGUAAAAUCCAAUUAUUGAUAUAUAUAUACAUGUUUAUAGAUAUUUUCAUCUUUGCUUUGGAUGCAUUUUUCUAUUUUUUGUUUUUAAAUAGAAUACUUUAAAUGUAGAGAAAAAUAUAGGAAUUCUUAUAUAAAAAGUAGGUACAUAUCUUGUAUACAUAAAAACACUUUUUAAAUUUUAAAUAAGUAAACAUUUUCACUUCCAAAAAAUUUUAAAGUUUUGAAAAAAAAAUUAAAAUAUAAAGUAAAUUUGGACUUUUUGUAUAAGAGUUGUUAUAUUUUAUAUAGAAAUUUUUAUUUUUAAAAAUAAAAAAUAAGAAGUGUAUCUAAUAGCUAGACACCUAAAGUAUUUUUUUUACAAUUUUAUUUAUACUCUAAUCUAAUGUUUAUAGAUUGAGUUUGUAUUCAAGUUUAUAUUAUGAUCGAUAUAUUAAGGGAUGAAGCUAAAGUAACUACCGAAAUGUUAUUUAGGUGAGAAAUUAUAAAAAUUAUGAUUGUAAUAAAUAUUUGAUAAAUUUUCAUAAUUUAAAAAGUAGUUAACAAUACCCCUCAUUAUUAUUAAACAAAAUAAAAAACAAUGGACAUUAAUUAUAAAAAGAAAAAGAAAAUAUAUCUUAUAUCAAAUUGAAUAAGAAAAAUAUUAAAUACAUUGGUCAAGAAUAUUUUAGAUUUUAUAAAUAAAAAAAAUCAAAAAAUUAAAAGAUUUUUUCUUCAAAAGAAAUUUAAAAAAAAAAAAGUUAAACAUUUCAAUAAGAAACUUCUAAUAAUUUUGUUUUAUUAAAAAAAUCCUAAAAAUAAAUUUUUAAAAAAAUCAAUAAUUCCACUUAUAAAUUUCUUCUCUUUUUCAAAUAGCUAAAGAUAAUUGACUGAGGAAACCUUUCUAAAAAUAUAGUUUGGUGAACUCCACAAGUAAACUAUGAAUAACUAAGAAGAGUUUCGGAGUUAUUGUUUGUAAUUUAUAAAUAUCAUAUUAAGUUAUACAAUUUUUAUAAUUAAAGUUAAAUUCAAUAUCUCGUAAUUUGAGUCAUUACAUAAGAUUGAAUUUAUCAAAUAUUAGAUAACAUAUAAAUUAAUAUUAAUCAUAAAUUCCCAUAAUAUGAAUCAUUACAUAAGAUUACAUCUAUCAAAAAUUAAAUAACAUAUAAAUUCAUACAAUUUUGUUGGCAAUUCUAAAUUAGUGAUUAUUUGAUUAAAUCUCAAAAAAAAAAAUUAAAAAGUCAAAAUCUAGCUAUAAAAAAUUCGCCACUGAAAAAAUUUAAUAAAAUAUUGUUAAAAUAACGAGAAUAGGUAAUUUAAAAAAAACACUAACAGACAAAAAACACAUAAAUUUACGUGAAAAACUCUAAAUGAGAAAAAACACAAGUAGAAAAGACAGAAAUCCAUUAUAUCAAAAUAUUGGUAUAAGAGGGAAAAGUUGCCAGCAAUUACAGAAGAAACAUAAUUAUCCUAAUCCUAAAACUAUACAUCAUCAUAAUCCUCCCAAAAAUCUCAUAAUUAUAGUUUCACUACAUAUGUUGUACCACAAGGUUUUUGAAUCGGAUUAAAUAGAAUUCGGAUUACCAAAUUCUAAUAAAUGUCAACGAUAAAGUUACAAAAAAUUUAUUUAUUAUAAAUUUUAUGGUAUAUAGUGGGAUUUAAAUAAAAUUAAUUAUAUAAAUUUUCAAUAAAAUUAAAUAAAAACAAAUAAAUCAUCGAUAAAACCUAUAUACAUUCAUAUUUAUUUACUUAUUUUUUUUAUUUUGAUCUUCAACAAGUUUUCAAAAAUAAAACAUUCAUUUUUUCAAAUAGAGUUCAAGUGUGACCAUGAUGCAUAUCACCUUUAUGAGAAUUGCAGGCCCACACUCAAAAUUUUAAAUAAAUAUUUUUAAAUAAUAAUAAUAAUAAUAACAACAAAAAGAAUAAUAAUUAAAUAAAUAAAUAUGAAAUGGGAAUUUCGGAAAAUUAUUCUAAAAUGAAAGUUUUAAAAUUAUUUGAGAAAUGGAAUUAUGAAAGGAGUUUUGGAAAAUUGGAGUUAGGAAAAUUGUUAAAAUAAUAAGAAAAUAAAUAAAAAGUCAAAAUCUUAAUGGGGCCAUGUGCCAAAGUGACCACACUUAGAGGUGGGCCAAGGUCGAAAAAGGUUUUCAAAUGAUGUUUGAACAUCCUGGCAGCCCAAAGAAAAAUAAAACAAAAUCUUGCAACGUGCACAUCCAUGAAUUUACAUCUGUGGCCCCACCAUUCAAUAUCACCGCCAAACCAGAAGAAAACCCACAAGUCCGCAGGCCGUCCUAUGCCAUCAGCAAUAAGCACAAGCUCUGAUUUCUCAAAUUACAAAAUAGCCCCACGGAAAGAAAUUCAAUUUCGAAUCUCCACCAAAAACUCCAAUAAUUGCCUAUCGACUUCACCCAAACUGCAAAACACUAAGGCUAUGUUUGAUUUCCGGAAAGUACGAAGGAAAGAAAAAAAAUGCUAAAGAAAAUGAUUUUCUCAUAUUUGAUUAUCCUAUGAAAAAUAUCAAAGAAAAUAAAAUAUAAUUAAAAUUAAUUAAAAAUUUAUAUAUUUUUAAAUUAUUUAAUCUUUAUAUUGAUGAGUUAAAAUAAAUAAAAUGAGUUUGAAGUAACAAAAAAAUAAUUUAUCAACUUUUAAUCUAUUUUUUUAUUUUUCUUCACUUUUUCUUUCCUUCUAGUUUUCCUUUGUAUUUUCUUUCCCUCGUAUUUUCCCUCAAAUUUUCCGGGAACCAAACAUAGCCUAAUAAUUCAACCACCCUCCAGACCACGCGUAGACGCUCCACUUCCACAUAUUUUGGCACGUAUUCUGUCAAGAUUAUUGGAUGCUGCCCAUGAGGCCUGUUAAUUAGUCGAAUGGUUCUCAACCGAGCCUAAAGCUUUGUCGAGUCAUAACCAGCUUCCCCGUGUUGUUGGCUCUCAGUGAGGGAUACUUCGGACUGAAGACCUCUCUACCAUAUCUCUCAUAAUGUAUCAUGGGCAGAGAAGCAAUGGAGAUUGGAUUGAUUCUUCUUGCUUUCAGGAGCUCUAUUAACUCCAAUUCCAACUUAACUGGAAAUUCCGAACCAAUAAGAGUUAUGGGACCCGUACCCACACCGGAAUUUUCUACUAUCGUCUCCGGAUAACACGCCACCGCAUGGGUCAAUCAGGUUCGUUUUGUAUGCUGUCACUGUAAAUACUCUGAAUAAUCCCCCAAAAAUCUCAUAAUUAUAGUUUCACUACAUAUGUCAUACCGCAAACUUUUUGAAUCGUACUAAAUAAAAUUCGGAUCACUAAAUUCUAAUAAAUGUGACAAAGUUACAAAAAGUUUAUUUAUUAUAAUUUUUAUGGUUUAAGUGGGAUUUAAAUAAAAUUAAUUUAAAAUUUUUCAAUAAAAUUAAAUAAAAACAAAAUAAAUCAUCGAUAAAAACUAUAUACAUUCAUAUUUAUUUACUUUUUUUUUUAUUUUGAUCUUCAACAAGUUUUCAAAAAUAAAACAUUCAUUUUUUCAAGGGAGAAUUAUCUUUUGGGGGUAGAUGGGCCCUCAAAUUAACAAAAGGUUCAUAUAACUCUUGAAAUUGAGUUGAAGGAUAUGAAAUAAUAACGGACAAAUAUACCCUUUAGGAACACAUAUAAAAUAUUUUAUAAAAUUAAGUUAAAUAAUUUUUUUUCAAUAACUUUUUUUUUUUCAAAAAUACUAAAUUAAAUAAAAGUAGUUUUCAAAAAUAUUAAAUUAAAUAAUUUUUUUUUUCAAAAAUAUUAAAUUAUUUUUUUUUCAAAAAUAUUAAAUUAAAUUAAAGUAUUUAAAAAAAUAUUAAAUUAAAUAUUUUUUUAAAUAUUAAAUUAAAUAAAUUUAUUUUUAAAAAAUAUUAAAUUAAAUAAAAGUAUUUUAAAAAAUAUUAAAUUAAAUCAAAAAUAUUAAAUUAAAUAAAAGUAUUUUUCAAAAAUAUUAAUUUUUUUCUCAAAAUCAACAAAGGGUAUUUUUGGAAAUAUUGAAAGAUGAUAUCCUUCAACUCAAUUUCUAUACUUUCAUUGGGUCUUGGGCUCAAUUUGAAGAGUUACAUGGACCUUUUGUUAAUUUGGGGGUCCAUCUACCCCCAAAACAUAAUUCUCCUUUUUUUCAAAUAGAGUUUCAAGUGUGACCUUGAUGCAUAUCAUCUCUAUGCGAAAUGCAGGCCCACCCUCAUGGUGUUCUCUAUUCCCUACUAAAAUAAUUAUUCCUUAGUGGAGCUAAAUAUCCCCAACUCAUUGAGGCAUCCCCAACAAUUGUCAUUAUUACAUCCUUUAUUUCCCAACAACUUUCAUGAAGAGGUAAAGGUACUUUGACAUUCUGCCUAAUAUAGCCAUGGUAAGGCUUCUUAUGAGCAUUUUGCAGUUUGGUUUGUGUAUGGGGAUCAAGCAACUUUUUAAUGUAGAGAAGACUAUACAUUGUGCUAGCAGAUUCUUCAAUGCAAACAUGUUAAUAUAAGAAUACAAACCUUAUAUUUUUAUCUACCAUAUAUUGAUAGGGAUAUUCCAAAUAGUUUCCAAUAUUCUAUAAGAUAUUUAAUUGUAAUGACAUAUACUUAGGAAUUUGAGAUACUUUCUAAUAAUUUUAGUCUCGUAUCAAAUUCAAUUAAGUUAAUCUUUCAUCUUUUCAUGAUACACGCUUUCAAAAGACUUGUUUUAACCAAAUUCUAACUCCACAUCAUGACCAAAUCUUUACUUCACAUCAUAACUUCUUUAUACGCCACACUCUCCUCAUGUGUCACAUGGUUCCUUUUGUGCACCUCAUGUGUCACAUGGUUCCUUUUGUGCACUAUAGUCUUAUCAUGUGUCACGAUUCCCUCGUGUGCUAUGGAUUUAAAAUCAUUUUUUUCCAUUUUAAACAUGUUAUUUCUUUAUAGCAUUUACUGUCUUUUUCAUUCAAGUUUCCUUUUCCUUUACUUUUAGUAGGACAUUGUUAUAAAACUCUACCUCUCACUUGGUCCGUAGGUUCCUUAUUACACUACCAACACACGCUCUAUUCAAAUUAUAGUCUAGUCUCAAUGUUAAUUUUGCAGAGUUAGACGAUACCCUUACGUGUAUUUCACCCUUGUUUGGAUGGCAAAAAAAAGUUUAGGAACUCACAACGAAGUAGGGAUUGAUGUUGAAUUUGUUAUGGGAUGAUGAAUAGAAUACUUUCCUUCUUACUCCUCUAUUCUACAUAAAUGCACAUACGGACAAGUUCGGUAUAAGUUUGUACUAACUCAAUUGGUAAGUGUCACUUUUUUAAUUAAUAGAUGUUGACAAUUUUGUCUUAAAUUAUAUAUUUUAGUUUUAGGAAAAUCGGUAUAUGUAGAGUUUAGCUUUUAGAAAACUCCCUUUUUAGGUUGACUAAGACUAGGAACUUAUUGUUUAGGAUUAGGUCUAUAAAUAUGUGGCCUACAUAGGAUUUUUUUAAGAGAGUGAAAAGAAAGUAAGUGCAUCCAAUUAAGUGAAAUUGUGUCCUUUUUCAUAUUUAGUAGAUUAUUUAACGUUUGAGAGACCACAUUUGUGUGACUGAUUUAUUUAUAUUUGCAUAAGAAUUUUACUCUCUUUAAAGAAUAAGUAUAAAGAGACAAACUUAAAAUAGGUAAUAAAAUAUUAAUUUGGGGAUUAAUUCAAAGACCACACCUUCUCUAUUUCACUUUAUUUUUUUACUGCAUUUGGAUGUUGUGAUUUUCCUAAAAAGUGGUAUCAGAGCCGUGCAGAGAUAAUGGAAAAAUUAUUUUGAUGAAAAUGUCUAACAUAAAAUAUAAUAUUGAGUUCUUUGAUGGAAAUAAUAAUUUUAGUAUUUGGCAAAGUAUUAUUAAAGAUAUUUGGGUACAACAAGAACUUCUCAAAGUGUCACAAUAAAAAAAAAAAAAAAAAAAUCAGAGAACAUGAAGAUUAAUUAGAAGCAAGAAUGGUAAGUGCUAUUUAUCUAAUUUUGAUUCCUAAAAUAAAAUACAUUUUUUAAAAAUGAGAGAUCUCUUUUUUAUUUAUGAGAAAAUUUAGAGAAAAUUUAUAAGCCAAAAUUCUUAACACAUAAAUUAUAUUUGAAGAAACAAUUAUAUGAGUUGAAGAUAGAUGAAGGAACAAAUGUUAGGAAUCAUACAAAUAAAUUCAAUAAAUGCAUGACUUAGUUAUUAAGGGUAGUGGUCAAGAUUGAUAAGAAUGAUCAAGCUAUUAUUUUCUUAGUGUCUUUACGAAAUUAUAUGAGACAUUGGUGAGUACACAAUUAGUUAGAAAGAUGAUAUUAACCAUUAAUGAUCUAUCAACUACCCUUUAAAUAUUGACCAACCAAGUAAUUCGUCUUGUACCGCACAAGCUUUUGUGGUGAAGUUUGAAUCAAAUCGUGAUAAGAGUAAAUCACAAGGAAGAUAUUAUGAUAUGAGGGAUGAUUGUUCUCAACCACACUUCUAGAGGGAUGUGGAGUUUUACUAUUGCCUCAAAAAAUGACAUAUCAAAAAGUACUAUAAAGAAUUGACAAAACACUUAGAAUCAAAGAGGUAAGCUAAAUUCUAGGAGACUUCAAAUUUUACUAAUAUUGUUGAUAAAAAGUUUGAUACAGAUAAUGUUGUUCUUUUUAUUAUAAUUGAUGAUUUUUUUUUUUUUUUUUUUUACUUUUAGAUUUUGGAUUUUGAAUGUUCUUUUCAUAUGUACCCAUAUUAUAAGUGGUUUGAUACCUAUAAGACUUGCGAUGCUAUUACUAUUAUAAUGGGCAAUGAUUCAAACUAUAAAGCUAUUGGGAUUAGUAUUGGGAAGGUGAAGAUAUUGGAUGGUGUUGUGAGGAUAUUGAGUAAUGUUAAGUAUGCUCCUAAGUCGAGGGGGAGUUCAAUUUCUUUGAAGACUUUGGACAAUUUCAACCAUGACUUUUUUGCUAAAGAAGACAUUAUGAAUAUUAGUAAAGGUGCUUUGAUAAUUAUGAAGGAAGAAAGGUGAAAAUUUCAUACACUUUGAUUGAGAAUACAAUUUUAGAUGCAAUUAUGAUGGUGAAGUCAUGCCAUGAAGUGUCUUAUGCUAGUGUUAAAGAAAUUGUCAUAGCAGAAGAGCACAAAAAAAUACUGGUAGUAGAUGAAAAACACAGAAGUGAGAUGAUCAAGGCUUUGUUUUUGGUUAAAAAUACUUAGUGGCACAAAGAUAAAGACUAAUUGAAAAAGAAAAGUUAUGAAAAAAAGAAUGUUCAUCGAGUCAAAGCUAAUGAGAGACUGAACUUGACAUAUACUUAUUCUCAUUGAUUAUGUGGUGGUGGCAAGGGGUGCAAAGAUGGGUAUCAAGGAAAAAUAACCCUACAUAUAGAUUGAGAAUUUGAAUCAAGAUGGAGAUUAUUAGUAAUUUUGACUUAAAUUAUUUAUUUUUUAUUUUUAGGAAAGCCAAUAUUUGUUGAGUUUAGGUUUUAGUAAAUUACUUUUUUAAAUUUGACUAGGAUUAGGAAACUUAUUUUUAAGGUUAGGUAUAUAAAUAUAUGGUUUUACAUUAGAUUUUAGGAGAAAGUGAAAAAAUGAGCGAAAAAUAUAGAAAGAUAGACAAAUUAUGUAUUGGGUUUUGGUAGAGUGACGUUGAGAAGGUUUGAGUAUAUAUUUUUUAAGUUACUAAUAAAUUUGAUCUCUCUCUCCCAUGAAAUCAUGUAAAUCUUUUAUCUUCUCUAUUUUACUUUAUUCUUUAUAUUGUCUUUGGGUGUUGCAAUUUCCCAAUAAUAGAAUGGUUUGAUCUUAUUUUGUUUCUAAGUAAAAUGUAAAUAAGUUAUCAGGUUAGCAAAUUAUUCAUAUACAUUAUUUUUUUUAGUCAUAUCAUCCAUGAACUUUUUCAAGGUGGCAACCUAUUUGGAAAAACCACAUUUGAUUUAAAAAAAGGAGAAUUGUGUUUUGGGCCAAUUGGGCUCAAAAAUUAAUCAAAGAUCCAUAUAUCAUGCACAUUUAAGCCCAAGACUCAAAUAAAGUGUAAAAAAUUAAGUUGAAUGAUAUUAUCCUUCGUUAAUCCCUCAAAUACCCUUAACACCUACAUAGAUAUAUAGUAAGUGUAAAUUUCAAUUUUUUUUUAAGUGUUUUUUUCUCUUUUCUAUUCCCAAUUAAGUAUUACUCAUUUCUAACUUUUUGUUUUUUCUUUUCUUUUUUAAAGAUAUUGAAUCUUUUUACUCUUAUUAUAAGUAAGGAUAAAAAAUCUUCAUAUAAAAUUUAAUGGAUAAUCAAUGAAUAAAAUUUAAUUCUUUUUAUUAUUUUCAUAUAAAAAAUAGUACUAAACAAGGGUUUCAAUUUUUAUUUUUAAAAAUAGUUUUCAUUUUUUAAUUAAAUGUUUUUUCAAAAAGAAAUAUAAAAAUAUAAAUCAUAUUACCAUUUUUUAGAAAGUAUUUUUUUUAAAUAGUUUUUGAACGUAAUUUUUCUUUAUUUAUAAUUUAAAAUAGAAAAUAAUGUUGAUUUCAAUUAUUUAAAAAAAAUUAAAAAAAAACAAUGAAAAAUCCAAAUGGUUAAAAUAGAAUUAUUAUGAUUGCAUGAAUCGUAGUGCUAUAAAGACCAAAAAAGUUUAUAUGAAAAGUUAAUGAGUAUUUUGAUCUUUUGAUAUCUUAUAUCAUUUCCAUCAAUUAUGUAAGUUAUAUGGACGAAAUCUUAAUUUUUUUGUCUAACUCGCUCAAAAUUCCAUUAUCCCUUUAAAAAAUAAAAUAAAAAUCAAAUCCUCCUUAAACAAAGGAAAGAAAAAGAAACAACAAAUCUUGAAGUGAGGUUUCAACAGAUCUUUGUUCAAUAAAGCAGCCAAGCAUUAUGGGGCUUAGUUGAAAGUACUCAUUUUCAUGAGUCCAAACAAUGAAAGAUUUGAUAUCCAGAAGCAUUCACCUAGUCAAAAAAUUUAAUGAGUUUUUCAGCUUGGUAGAGUCAGGUCAAAUCCACAUGUAGUGAUUCUACAAUUCAGAAUAUAACUGCUUCACUUGGAAAUGAUCAUCAGGAUACCAAUGCAUGAGCACCAAAUCUUCUGAACUACUUUUCUUCAUGUGUCCAGCGUAUAAGUAGAAAAUGGAUCAGUAAGUGCAGGCAUGGAACUGUUGGCAAUAAGUCUGAUCUCUCUGAAGAAGGCCUAAGCUUCCCUUUUUGCUAGUUCAAGUCUAUAGAUGUAAUAGUUCUUGGAAAUGGUAUCUGAUUUCAGACUGGUUGGUGUUGAAACCAUACCAUUUUCUUGCUGUCAUUGUGUCUUAAUGUUUUCAGCUACUUAAAGAAGAGACUGAAAGUGGGGCACCAUAGUGGUAAGUUGGUAAUCGGGGAUGAAAGAAAUGCUCAAGGUUGUAUCAGUCUUGAAUUUCAAAUUGCAUAAAAUUGGCAGAAAAAAAAAUACAAGAAUUUAAUAAGAUAGAUGUUACCUGCUCAUUGCAGGGCUAUGAAAACUCUCUAAUAGCCUAUACAUCAAACGAAACCAGUUUUUUUCAUCUUAAAAUCAAAUGUGGAACUGAAAAGGUUACACACAUAUACAUUAACCAAGAGUCUCUGAAGAACUUUUGCUCCGUGUGACUUCUUAUCGCCUUUGGAAGUUCAAUGCCUUAAUGGCAUAGGCAAAGAUAAAUAAGAAAAGCACCACAAACCCAACGACCACAGCUGCAACCACUCCUAGGAAAUCAUGUUUGAAUCCAAAGUAGUCAUUCAAGUAGUCUUUCACUGUUACACCUGUGUUUAGUUCUUCUGUUAUAUCUCCAAACUGUGAUGUAACCAAUCCAUACAAAGUCCAUGAAACUGGGCAUAUCCAAUAGUACCAUCUCCACCACACGGGUAUUCUCUGUAUUCAUCAAGGAAGAAAUGCAUCAAAAUGAGUCAUUCCUGUAUCCAUGUGGCUAAAGAAAGUUGCAAUUUAAAGAACUAUGGGUUGAGAGCACUUACAUUUCGUGGGACUAUAAAACCUGAAAAGAGGUUCCACAAUCCAUAAAAUGCUGCGGCAACAAUGGAAGCGAUAUUUUGAUUUGGUGUGGCAGCCACAGCCAUCAUGCCAUAGAAGGUGAAGUACAUUAAGGUGAAGAACAUGAAAAACAGAUACCAGAAGAACUUAGCGGCUGUCCAUUGAAAUCCAAUCAUUGCAUAAACUAUAAGACCAUACACCACGGCUUGUGAAAAGAUAUAUGGUAUCUCAACUAAAGCCUGCAACAAGAGAUGAGAUUUGAUUAAUAAAACCUAUGAAGUAUUAGAGACAGACAAAGUCUAUAGCAUAAGAAAACUAGUUACCUGUGCAAAGGCAUAUGACAGUGGUGAAUACAUUCCUGCAGCUCUUUCUCUGUAAAAGACUGUUCGUUCAACUACCACAACUGGCUGCACUGACUGGGAAUUUUGAAUCCCAAGGAAGAGAACAGCAGCAUACAUUGAACCCAUUGCAUUAAACAGAUCUUGUUGCGUUGACCUGCAUUUUACCACGUGAAGUAUAAAUCAAUGUUGAUAAAAAAGAAACAUACAGAGUUCUCAAAUUUUUGAACUGACUUCAAAUUACCAUUUGGUGCCCAGAUCCCAGAACAUUGUCCCAAACAUCAAGGCUAUGAAAGUUGUGAAGAGAAAUCUCACUGCCGUGUAUGGUGGGUUGCGCCAGUAUGACCAACGCUGUUUCCAUAAGCAUGCCAAAAAUUGGGUGAAGAAGGGCUGGGAGAAUUGAGUACGGAAAUAGAGGUCCUUUGUACCAGGGGGAGGUUGGCUCAGUUCUUUAAUUAAAUCUUUGUUUCUCCUGAAACAUAUGCCACUUGUUAGAAAAGGUUUCAACAACAAAUUUAAGUUUUCAUGAGAAACAUUAGGAUGGCUGUAUAUUAUUUUUCAAUCUUAUAAUGCAAUUAGAUAACCUAUGGUUGAAUCACCUGUAUAGGUCCGAAUUCUUGUAUAUUUCAGUGAAAUCGACCCCCAAAGUUGCUUCUUGUGCUGCGGUGGUAGCUUCCAGCAUCCAGGUUGCAGGGUUAUAACCAUCUUUGAUUUUACUGACUCCUUCAAUUCCCUUUAUGAAAGAAAGUGAUAUGCAUUAGUGAGCGCUUAAUAUGAAUUAACUCAAACUGAAGUAUUCACUUCUUAUAGCUUCUACUUCAUCAUGGCAGCUUACCUCAAAAUAAUUUAUCAGAUGGCAAGAAUAUCUGCCUAGUGGUCCCACAUAUAUCUCUUGUCCUCCUCGCUUCAGCAGGAGCAACUGCAAAUCCAUUUUAAAUAUUUCAGUACUUAUAUGCAAAGAUCAUAGAAGGGAAACUAUAAAUUCUUUCCAUCCAUUAACAUUUUCUACCUCAUCAAAGGCUUCAAAUAUGUCAAUACUUGGUUGAUGGAUGGUGCACACAACUGUUCUUCCUGUGUCCACUGUGUUCCUGACUGUUCUCAUAACAAUUGCAGCAGCUCUUGCAUCUAGCCCUGAAGUUGGCUCAUCCAUGAAUAUUAUUGAGGGAUUUGCCACAAGCUCAACAGCAAUGGUCAGCCUCUUGCGCUGCUCAGUUGAGAGACCACUUACACCUGGCAACCCAACUAGUGCAUCCCUCAAUGGGGUCAGUUCCACAAGCUCCAUGACUUCCUCAAUGAACAUCUGUAACCAUUGGCAAGGAUUAGAAAUUGUUUAAAAAACAAUGCAAAACCAUAGUAGAGAUGGUGAAAAUUUUGACAGUGCUUGGGACUCUUUACCGUCAGCAGGUUGUGAAUUCUCCAGUCUUAUUAAACAGAAGAGUUAAAAAAUGCAAAUGCUUAAUAACACUCACUAGCUUGCAUGAAAUUCACCCACUUGGGAAGGCAGGUCAAUGAAAUUUGAACCAGGAAAGGUCAAGCCAAACUUUAACCUGAUCUUAGCUCAACCAAGUUUGAAAAACCAAUUCUAGGGCCUUGCUUGUUUAGAGCAUUAAAUUGAAUAAGAAAUGCGGAAACAACUCAAGAAACCCUCACCUGUCUGGUUUCAGAUUUCACAUCAGAAGGCAACCGCAACCAAGCUGAGUAGAGCAAGGACUCAUAGACAGUAACAUGAGGAGAGUGGAUGUCAUUCUGCUCACAGUAUCCAGAAAUUCGAGCAAAAGUCUCCUGCUUCUUUGGGUAGCCAGAAAUGGUGAUGUUGCCCUCAAUAUAUCCACCAGUUUUUCGACCAGCCAAUACAUCCAUGAGGGUGGUUUUACCAGCACCACUAACCCCCAUCAGAGCUGUAAGAACACCAGGCCUGAAAGCACCACUCACCCCCUUCAGAAGCUCCAAUUUGUCUUCAACAACACCUUGACUUUUCAUCUCCUGCAAAUUCAUUUCAAACAACUCAGUUCUCAUUUUUGGUUUAUAGUACAUUAUGACAAAACUUCAGUGCUGAUAAAACAUACACAUUAUUUGCAUAAAUAUGAAGUUACCUCUGGCAUGUCAACUGAGUAUCUAAUAUCAUCGAAGGUAAUAGAAUAUGGUUGGAAUGGAAGAACCAUUCCUUUCUUCUUGUUAUGGUUAGCCCCCGCAACAGCUUCUUCCCUAACAGCUGAGGAUGUGGAUGAGAUGCUUCUCCCAAUUUCCUCUCCUCUCUCUGCAUGUCAAGUUCAAAUUUAAUGAGCCAAAUAAAAACAUGUAGUUGAAUGACAAGAACACAGGCACACAAAGGCACAUGCACCA
This 20307-nucleotide long non-coding RNA is filed under the name Vitis vinifera (wine grape). RNAcentral describes it as "long non-coding RNA (VVIN_LNC002785)". The record is from RNAcentral. Lineage: Eukaryota; Viridiplantae; Streptophyta; Magnoliopsida; Vitales; Vitaceae.